GUAGUGAUGUAUCCAUAGAGACCUCAUUAGUCCAUAAAAAGUAUAGGCUGUGAACAUAAGUAUAGUAAAUAAGUAUAAGCAUAAGAAUAUGUAUGAAUGAAAGGCCUGGGCCAAAGAUGGUAGGGACAUGGAGAUGGU
Molecule: long non-coding RNA, 138 nt
Organism: Rana temporaria (common frog)
Lineage: Eukaryota; Metazoa; Chordata; Amphibia; Anura; Ranidae
Exons: 2
Source: RefSeq, a predicted model, not a curated record